GACGAACGCUGGCGGCGUGCCUAAUACAUGCAAGUCGAACGGAGUGGCGAACGGGUGAGUACUGUAUCGGAACGUGCCCAGUAGCGGGGGAUAACUCCGCGAAAGCGUAGCUAAUACCGCAUACUAUUGGAGCGGCCGCUAGGGGCUUAGCUCGUUGGGGGGGUAACGGUUCACCAAGGCGACGAUCCGUAGCCGGUUUGAGAUGACGACCAGCCACACUGGGACUGAGACACGGCCCAGACUCCUACGGGAGGCAGCAGUGGGGAAUGUUGGGCAAUGGGGGAAACCCUGAUCCAGCCAUCCCGCGUGUGCGAUGAAGGCUUUCGGGUUGUAAAGCACUUUUGGCAGGAAAGCGGUACCUGCAGAAUAAGCAACGGCUAACUACGUGCCAGCAGCCGCGGUAAUAC
This 407-nucleotide ribosomal RNA is filed under the name uncultured bacterium. RNAcentral describes it as "partial 16S ribosomal RNA". It matches the Rfam family "Bacterial small subunit ribosomal RNA", at positions 28 to 526 of the family's 1533-position model. The record is from RNAcentral.